RNAcentral lists this ribosomal RNA (253 nucleotides) under uncultured bacterium. RNAcentral describes it as "partial 16S ribosomal RNA". It matches the Rfam family "Bacterial small subunit ribosomal RNA", at positions 524 to 776 of the family's 1533-position model. The record is from RNAcentral.
UACAGAGGGGGCAAGCGUUGUUCGGAAUUACUGGGCGUAAAGGGCGCGUAGGCGGCCUGUUAAGUCGAACGUGAAAUCCCCGGGCUCAACCCGGGAACUGCGUCCGAUACUGGCAGGCUUGAAUCCGGGAGAGGGAUGCGGAAUUCCAGGUGUAGCGGUGAAAUGCGUAGAUAUCUGGAGGAACACCGGUGGCGAAGGCGGCAUCCUGGACCGGCAUUGACGCUGAGGCGCGAAAGUCAGGGGAGCAAACGGG